Phascolarctos cinereus (koala) is the source of this 599-nucleotide non-coding RNA. NCBI's taxonomy places the organism in Eukaryota, Metazoa, Chordata, Mammalia, Diprotodontia, Phascolarctidae. The record is from RefSeq and is a predicted model, not a curated record.
UAGCUUUUGAGUGGAACAUUGUCGGGGGAGGUGAGUUGAGGGGAAUGAUAAUAAGGGAUUAGGCUUUGGGGGAUUUAGAACAGAUUUGAAUGAUGACAGGGGUCCAGAAUCAAUGUAAUGGGGAGGUGAGACAAGGAGGGAGUUUGCUAAUCACUACAGAAUGAUUUUUUUCAUUGUUUAGAGAGGUUUGGCCUCAAGAUAGAGUUCUCUUGGAGCCGUAGGCAGAUCAGGUGAAGUGACAAGUGCUAAGAACUGAAGGGAUGGUAUUAUUCCUUUUCCCCUAAGGCAGGAGGCCAGGCUGGAUCCUUAAUGGAAAGGCCUUUCUCCUCUUCCUUGGAAAGGAGUCUGGCUUAGACAGAAUGAUGUUUCUUCUCUUCCUAAGGAGACUGGUACUCUACUGAAUGGUGUUUUUCCUCUUCCCCUGGAGGCUGGAGACCAGUGAGGCCAGGCAGAAGACCUGAUGCACUGGAAUGACAUUCCAUACCCUAUCCUACCCUACCCUACCAUAAAGGAAUAAAAAUCUCCUUUGGAGAACAGUGGGAAGAGGAGACACUAGAAACAUCUAUCCUUACCUUCCUGUGAGACACAUCGAGACAAGC